GUCCUUGUGUUGUUAGUGCUGUGUUCAGGAUUUCCUUACUUUACAUUUGCAUUAAACCGUCUACGAGUCUUUGAUAAGAAGUACGCCCUGAUUGAACAUCAGAAGAACUGGUGUCAGGCUCUUCAGUACUGCAGAAAAUACUACACUGACUUAGUCAACAUCAGUAACAAAAUACAAAACCAAACAGUGAUUAAAGAAGGGAAAAAUACAGGCUUUUGGAUUGGACUCCUGCAUGAUGAUUGGGAGUAGCUGGACGGAGGCUGCUCUACAUUCAGAGAUUGGGAACAGGAAAAUGGUUCAGAUGGAGAUUGUACAAUUCAUCGGAGGUCACAUUUAUUGUAUCCAUAUCAAUGUGACAAUGAAAGAAAUGGACUUUGCUCCAAAGGUUAUGUGAGGAUUCAAGUCAUCGAUGAAAGUUUGACUUGGGAACAGGCGUUUGACUACUGCGAAGCCAACCACGCUGGCCCACUGAGGAUUGAGGAUGAAGAAGAUCAGAUGGCUGUCAUGCAAUGGUUAAACUACACUAAAGUUGAUGGUCCAUUCUGGAUCGGUCUGAGGCAGAGUCGAGCCUUUGGAUUCUGGUUGUGGAGUAACAUGACAGCGUACUACAGCCAGUGGAAGGACGGCAAACAGCUUGAGCCACCCUUGUCUAACCACUGUGGUGCCAUCUACAAGAACGGCAGUUAAAGUGAUGAAAACUACUUACAACAGCUACCUUUUUUUUGUGAGGAGGAGAUUUUCUUCAUGGAGAAAUAGUUAAUAGUUUUAAGGCUUUGUUGAUAUAACAUAGAUUGUAUUGUAGUGUGGAUUUAAUUUGGGGUUGAUACCAUAUCAUGAAUUCAGCAAUGUGAGAUUUCACUUUACCACUCUGUUUCUUCAUGUAUGCUGUUCUCAAAUUCAGCUAGUGCAAAAUUGUCUGAAAUGUAUUUUUACAUUAAUUUAUAGAUUGAUAAAUUUGUCAGCAUGUAUAUACCGUAUGUAUUAUUACAUAUAUGCAAUUAUAUAGGGAAAUUCAGUAAUAUCAAGAGUCAAAAGUCAAUCAUAUGUUUGUAGUUAAGCUGACCUUGGUGACCUGUAAAUAAUGAUGAUGAUUUUUAUAUACAAAAGUGGAAACAUAUGAUGGAAAUUAACUCAUUUAUUUUGUGAUGACAAUUUUGUAAUGAGACUGUUUUCCUACUGUUGACUUUUGUGAAAUAACUCACUCAGUCCCAGUGUGUUACGUCAAGUGCUACCACUAAUAUUUCUAAAUUAUUGAAGGUAAACAUAUUUUUGAGAUCUAUUUGUGGCUCUUCUUUCACCAGUAAUAGUUAAAAUACCAUUUCUACUUUUCUAUUUACAUUUAUAACUUAAACUAAACUCAAAAUAUGUUAUAUUCAAGAAUAUUUGUUUUUUUUCAGUCUUUGUUAUGUGGACAGUGCUUCAAUAUCGGAUGACUGACAUUUUCAUCUCUAUAAUUAAAAUCCAUAAGUUAUAGUUAUUGUAUUAUACUGUUUAUGUAUCAUUAAGAGAAAUCAUUGUAGCGUAUUUUGUAGGACAUCCCAUACCUAGAGGAUCUGAAUGUUUGCUGUAUGGUUUAUAUUAAAUUUCUUUGUGACCACAACACUUUCAUGUGAGAUUUGUUUAGUGUUAAAAUUAAAUUUCUGGAUGAAUGCACCUCGACAUAAUUUGCAAUCAAAGAAAAUAUAUAUUGUGGGAAUCUUGUCAUGAGCUAAUUAAUGCUACAUAAUGCAUAAACAAAUGAAUCUCCCUGUCUCAAAUACACAACACAUCACUGCCAAAUAAUAACCUUUCAGUGUAUUCAUUAUCACAAGAUACUAUUAUUGAUAUUUCUUAGAUUUUGCAUUACAAUAUGUUAAUUGCAGCUUCUGUAGCAUUUUAUAGCUAUGAUUAUCAAGGACUGAUAAACAGUUUAACACCUUCUAGGCCUGUGUAAGUAUGUUUUCAUUUUUAUUUUUCACCUCACUCCACAUUUUCUAAAUUUGCAUUUAUUAAGGUAAGCGUCUCUUUCUUUGCCAUCAGAUCUCUAUCACAGCCUCUUGCUAUGUCCAUCUGGUAUCUGUGGAUGUUGUGUUUGCAUUCCAGUGUCAUUGGAUAAUAAAGGUAAAUUGUUUGCAAGGCCAAAAUUCUAAAUCAUAAGUGGU
This is a long non-coding RNA of Thunnus maccoyii (southern bluefin tuna), 2141 nucleotides long. RefSeq lists it as uncharacterized. The transcript is spliced from 4 exons. The record is from RefSeq and is a predicted model, not a curated record. Lineage: Eukaryota; Metazoa; Chordata; Actinopteri; Scombriformes; Scombridae.